Molecule: ribosomal RNA, 484 nt
Filed under: uncultured bacterium
Lineage: Bacteria
Description: partial 16S ribosomal RNA
Rfam family: Bacterial small subunit ribosomal RNA
Source: RNAcentral
AUUGAACGCUGGCGGCAGGCCUAACACAUGCAAGUCGAGCGGAUGAAGGGAGCUUGCUCCUGGAUUCAGCGGCGGACGGGUGAGUAAUGCCUAGGAAUCUGCCUGGUAGUGGGGGAUAACGUCCGGAAACGGGCGCUAAUACCGCAUACGUCCUGAGGGAGAAAGUGGGGGAUCUUCGGACCUCACGCUAUCAGAUGAGCCUAGGUCGGAUUAGCUAGUUGGUGGGGUAAAGGCCUACCAAGGCGACGAUCCGUAACUGGUCUGAGAGGAUGAUCAGUCACACUUGAACUGGGACACGGUCCAGACUCCUACGGGAGGCAGCAGUUGGGAAUAUUGGACAAUGGGCGAAAGCCUGAUCCAGCCAUGCCGCGUGUGUGAAGAAGGUCUUCGGAUUGUAAAGCACUUUAAGUUGGGAGGAAGGGCAGUAAGUUAAUACCUUGCUGUUUUGACGUUACCAACAGAAUAAGCACCGGCUAACUUCGUG